This 76-nucleotide transfer RNA is filed under the name Ethanoligenens harbinense. RNAcentral describes it as "tRNA-Ala". The record is from RNAcentral. Lineage: Bacteria; Bacillati; Bacillota; Clostridia; Eubacteriales; Oscillospiraceae.
UGGUGGAGAUGAGGAGAAUCGAACUCCUGACCCCCUGCGUGCAAAGCAGGUGCUCUCCCAGCUGAGCUACACCCCC